UACAGAGGUCCCAAGCGUUGUUCGGAAUUACUGGGCGUAAAGGGUUCGUAGGUGGCCUACUAAGUCAGACGUGAAAUCCCUCAGCUUAACUGGGGAACUGCGUCUGAUACUGGGAGGCUUGAAUGCGGGAGAGGGAUGUGGAAUUCCAGGUGUAGCGGUGAAAUGCGUAGAUAUCUGGAGGAACACCGGUGGCGAAGGCGGCAUCCUGGACCGACAUUGACGCUGAGGCGCGAAAGCUAGGGGAGCAAACGGG
This 253-nucleotide ribosomal RNA is filed under the name uncultured bacterium. Its description in RNAcentral is "partial 16S ribosomal RNA". It matches the Rfam family "Bacterial small subunit ribosomal RNA", at positions 524 to 776 of the family's 1533-position model. The record is from RNAcentral.